UACGUAGGGGGCAAGCGUUGUCCGGAAUCAUUGGGCGUAAAGAGCGUGUAGGCGGCCCGAUAAGUCCGCCGUGAAAGUCCAGGGCUCAACCCCUGGAAUGCCGGUGGAAACUGUCGGGCUGGAGUCCGGAAGAGGAGAGUGGAAUUCCCGGUGUAGCGGUGAAAUGCGCAGAUAUCGGGAAGAACACCCGUGGCGAAGGCGGCUCUCUGGGACGGUACUGACGCUGAGACGCGAAAAGCGUGGGGAGCGAACAGGG
This 256-nucleotide ribosomal RNA is filed under the name uncultured bacterium. RNAcentral describes it as "partial 16S ribosomal RNA". It matches the Rfam family "Bacterial small subunit ribosomal RNA", at positions 524 to 777 of the family's 1533-position model. The record is from RNAcentral.